GCUGGGUGCAGUGACAUGUGCCUGUAAUCUCAGCUACUUGGGAGGCUGAGGUGGGAGGAUCGCUUGAGCCCAGGAGUUCUGGGCUGUAGUGCCUAUGCUGAUCAGGUGUCCACACUAAGUUCGGCAUCAAUAUGGUGACCUCCCGGGAGCAGGGGACUACCAUGAUGCCUAAGGAGGGGUGAACCGGCCCAGGUCAGAAAUGGAGCAGGUCAAAACUCCCGUGCUGAUCAGCAGUGGGAUCACGCCUGUGAAUAGCCACUGCGCUCCAGCCUGGGCAACAUAGUAAGACCCCGUCUCAA
Unclassified non-coding RNA from Callithrix jacchus (white-tufted-ear marmoset), 299 nucleotides. It matches the Rfam family "Metazoan signal recognition particle RNA". Rfam says of the family: The signal recognition particle (SRP) is a universally conserved ribonucleoprotein. It is involved in the co-translational targeting of proteins to membranes. Lineage: Eukaryota; Metazoa; Chordata; Mammalia; Primates; Cebidae. The record is from Ensembl.